GUAAUUUGGAUAUGUGGGUUGUGUCAUACUCUAGAAAAAUUGGCCUCUUUGAGGCUUUGAGCUCUAUGUGGAGGCAAUCUCUAACGAAUACACGCUUCAAGGCAAUCAAAGCCCACCACAAAGUCAUCUCUCCACCGUCAAAGCCAGGGUACAAUGUCAUCCAAAGGAUUUGUUUGUGGCAAACUUGAAAGUCUUGGCUAAUGCAGUCAUUAAAUGUCGGCCUCAGUUCCACCGUAAGCUUGUUAAGAACCACAUUUGAAGGAACGGGAGUGUGGUGUAUCUAACAGGUACCCCCAACACCCCAGACCAUUUGGUAAGGCCAAGGCAUCACUUCGAAGUUGGAAAAAUGAUCCUGGUCUUUGAAAUACUUUCCCCAAAAGGCUCUAAACAAGACGACGAUCGUGAUGAUGGCCAUUCCACCUUUUGGAGCUUGGAUUUAACGCACUUUCAAGGUCAUGUUUAACACCUGCAAAUGGCCUUCCAACGAUGGGAAGAACUAAAGUGAACUGAACACAAGGAGUCGGUAGUGAGCAACGAGAAUCCCCGAGAGUGGAGGUUGGAAAUUGGAAUUCCAGCAAGCAGAGAGACAGACCCUGCCUUCCCUAGCCGAAGCUAACGAUUAUGACUACGGGUCUAUUAAGGAAAUUAAUUUGGCAAACCAGACUAGAAAAAACGUGAGCGGUCGAGACAACAAAAACCAGGGCGACAAGUGAGUUCUUCUUGUGGAUUCAUGGUCUCUCUCCUGCAUGGUCAUCUUGAUAGCAGUCCGAUAAGCAAGCAAACCGAGAGCACUGGGAUUCAAAUUGAUACAAUCAAGACGAACGAAGGGAGCUUUCAUCAUGACAUGAAAAGGAUCGCUUUGGUUGAAACGAAGAGAAGAGGGAGUCUCUCAUUUGCAUUUUAACAGACCUCCUCCUUUUCUUUGGCAUGAGAUUGAUCUGAGGGUGGAUGGAAAACGUCCGAGAAGUCGAGAAUAUGAGGACCAAUUUGUCAACAGUCAACCCUCGAAACCACAGAGAGUCGGAAUAACUAAACACAGAACAACCAUGUGGGACGAACAAAAAUGUGUCUUCUUGACCUCUUACCAGACUCCUUGGGCAUAGUUUCGACUCUGAGUCAACGCUCCUCCUUGGUUUACAAUGUUCAACAAUCUUCGAGGCAGAAUUUUGAUUAUGGACUCAGACAUAAGCUAUUCUUUUGUUGGGAACAACCUCGCUCAUGGAUAUGAUUUUCAAUUCGAUCGACUUUCUUCAUAAUCUUGAGCGGUUUCAGCCACAAGCUGAUGAUUUGAAGGUGUUGAUGAAUUGACUGACAAUGAAACACGUGGUGGGAAUAUUAACAUUUGAGUGUACAAUAAUUCUACUUUGAAUUUAUGGACCAAAGGCUUUAAAUUGCAGUUUAAUUGUCCUUCAGUCGAAACAUUCACUUUCGGUUUAAAGUUUGUUCGGUGCUUCAGUUCAUAAUUUCCUAUGACUUUAAUUUCAACCAACAAUAUAUAUAUUUAAUUGCCGCGCUAUAGCAUCAAACGGAAAUAUUAGAAGUAGUCAUGUUUAAUCCUUACCUCUCACAAUGGUGAACAUACCCUUUAUAUUUUGACGUCUUGGCAUUUUUCUACCCCAAAAAGCCAUAAAGAACAACUUUGAUUUUACAGUAUAUUUAUAGUGUUCUAGCCCACAUUAAAAAUCAUAUGUCUAAAAACAUUAUAAAAACUAUCUUUUUCAAAAACCUAUUCCACGAAAAUCGGUUGCACACUUAGUAAGCACUUGAUGAUAAAUUAUGGUAUCAACUAUUACACCACCACCUAGUUAUGUGCAUGGGAUGUGCACCCAAUGGGAUGUGGGCCCAAAUUUCUUCUUUUUUAGUCCCAAAACGACCCGGUUAUAUCUUUAUGCAAUUUCCCAAAUAAUUACUAUCAGUUUUCGAUGUCACAACAAUAAAAUGCUAUUUUUCUUCCUUUUAG
This is a long non-coding RNA of Tigriopus californicus, 1960 nucleotides long. RefSeq lists it as uncharacterized. The transcript has 2 exons. Lineage: Eukaryota; Metazoa; Arthropoda; Copepoda; Harpacticoida; Harpacticidae. The record is from RefSeq and is a predicted model, not a curated record.